RNAcentral lists this non-coding RNA (130 nucleotides) under Nocardioides sp. RNAcentral describes it as "FMN sequence". It matches the Rfam family "FMN riboswitch aptamer (RFN element)". From Rfam's summary of the family: The RFN element is a highly conserved domain that is found frequently in the 5'-untranslated regions of prokaryotic mRNAs that encode for flavin mononucleotide (FMN) biosynthesis and transport proteins. This element is a metabolite-dependent riboswitch that directly binds FMN in the absence of proteins. Lineage: Bacteria; Bacillati; Actinomycetota; Actinomycetes; Propionibacteriales; Nocardioidaceae. RNAcentral also lists the same sequence under 1 other name. The record is from RNAcentral.
UCGCGUGCUCUGGGGUCGGUGAAAAUCCGAGCCGGCGGUGAAAGUCCGCGACCCGGUCACCUCCAGUGACCGGUUGACCAGGUGGAACUCCUGGACCGACGGUCAAAGUCCGGAUGGGAAGUGCACGCAG